CUCCACCAAAGAAAAAGAUAAAUUUAGAAACCAGUGGGAAGAAAAAAUGUCAUCAGUUCGAUUGAAAUUGACGAUUCUGAUGAUGAUAAUAAGCCUUUAGGUCUGUCCAUCACGAUUGAUGAUAGUGACGAUGAUGUCGAGCUUGUAAGUGAAACAAAAGGCAACAGAUGUUUAAAGACCAAGGACGGGUCAACAAUAGAGGUGGUGCACAUGGAGAGCACAGGUGUACAGAAGAGGCCAAGGGUGGAGAGAGAUAUCCGAGUGAUGCCUGAAGUCGUGGAACUCAACAUCCAGAUGGAGGGUCCGCCCAAGAAGCCCAAGGCAGUUGAGAGUCCGGUGGUGCACCAGUCCAGCAGCUCUGCAGCGUUCAGUGCUCCGUCGACCUCAUUCGCCUCCCAGGACAGGUUCGUGUUGGUGGACCCGGCGACGCUGAGGCCAGACGAACUGCCGCCCGGCACAGUUCUUCUGCGCAGCGUACAACCGGUGGUCAACAUGCCUCAGCCGCAACAGCCAGUUCCUGCCAAUGUGCCUGUGCAAGAGCCGAGACCUAGUUCCAGUAAUGUAACUUAUUUUUCUUGCGAUGCCAACAGCAACUGGGGACACCCUGUAGUGCAGAUGCCGAACAUUCAGAUCUCUGUAAACACCGGCCCCGGUGCAGCUACUAUCUCCGCUCCCAGCACCUCCUCAAGAAACAUCUCAAGAAAACAUCAAGAUCGUUCAAAUAUAAUAGUGCUGGACGAGGAAGAGGAGGACGAUAUAAUUUUGAUCGACUGAACGUACAAGUUGCUAUUACACCACUUCAAAUUAGGAUCUCAGACGAUGGUCGCUACGAGGAGAUCUUGGUAUCUCAGAGCACUUGGGGUGUGCAGUCAUUAAAGAGAAAAGGUUCACCAUUACCAUCUCGCCCUAUGAAAAAACUUAAGUUAACUCAAACAUCAAGCAGCCUCGUGAAAUCUCCAG
RNAcentral lists this unclassified non-coding RNA (960 nucleotides) under Homalodisca vitripennis (glassy-winged sharpshooter). RNAcentral's name for it is "uncharacterized LOC124360826, transcript variant X6". The record is from RNAcentral. Lineage: Eukaryota; Metazoa; Arthropoda; Insecta; Hemiptera; Cicadellidae.